GCGGCAGGCUUAACACAUGCAAGUCGAGGGGUAAGGAUCUGCUUGCAGAUCACACGACCGGCGCACGGGUGAGUAAUACUUAUGCAACUUGCCUGUAACUGGAGGAUAGCCCGUGGAAACGCGGAUUAAUACUCCAUAAUAUCAUAAAGACACAUGUUUUAAUGAUUAAAGCUACGGCGGUUACAGAUGGGCAUAAGUCCUAUUAGUUAGUUGGUAAGGUAACGGCUUACCAAGGCUACGAUAGGUAGGGGUCCUGAGAGGGUUAUCCCCCACACUGGUACUGAGACACGGACCAGACUCCUACGGGAGGCAGCAGUGAGGAAUAUUGGUCAAUGGAGGCAACUCUGAACCAGCCAUGCCGCGUGCAGGAUGACUGUCCUAUGGAUUGUAAACUGCUUUUCUGCAAGAAGAAAGUUCGCUACGUGUAGUGAUUUGACGGUAUUGCAGGAAUAAGCAUCGGCUAACUCCGUGCCAGCAGCCGCGGUAAUACGGAGGAUGCAAGCGUUAUCCGGAUUUAUUGGGUUUAAGGGGUGUGUAGGCGGUAAGGUAAGUUAAAGGUGAAAGUCUGCAGCUUAACUGUAGAAGUGCCCUUGAUACUGUCUUACUUGAGUUUAGUUGAGGUUGGCGGAAUGUGUAAUGUAGCGGUGAAAUGCAUAGAUAUUACACAGAACACCGAUUGCGAAGGCAGCUGACCAAGCUAACACUGACGCUGAGGCACGAAAGCGUGGGGAGCGAACAGGAUUAGAUACCCUGGUAGUCCACGCUGUAAACUUUGAUCACUCGUUGUAGGCGAUACACAGUCUGUGACUGAGCGAAAGCAUUAAGUGAUCCACCUGGGGAGUACGAUCGCAAGGUUGAAACUCAAAGGAAUUGACGGGGGCCCGCACAAGCGGAGGAACAUGUGGUUUAAUUCGAUGAUACGCGAGGAACCUUACCUGGGCUUAAAUGUAGAUUGCAUUUCUGAGAAAUCAGAAUUUCCUUCGGGACCAUUUACAAGGUGCUGCAUGGUUGUCGUCAGCUCGUGCCGUGAGGUAUCGGGUUAAGUCCCAUAACGAGCGCAACCCCUAUUGUUAGUUGCCAUCAGUUCGGCUGGGGACUCUAACAAAACUGCCCGUGUAAGCGGGAGGAAGGUGGGGAUGACGUCAAAUCAGCACGGCCCUUACGUCCAGGGCUACACACGUGUUACAAUGGCAGGUACAAAGGGCAGCUACACAGUAAUGUGAUGCUAAUCUCAAGAGCCUGUCUUAGUUCGGAUUGGAGUCUGCAAUUCGACUUCAUGAAGCAGGAUUCGCUAGUAAUCGCACAUCAGCCAUGGUGCGGUGAAUACGUUCCCGGGCCUUGUACACACUGCCCGUCAAGCCAUGGAAGUCGGUAGUAUCUGAAGACUGUAACCGCGAGGAGCGGUCUAGGGUAAGACCGAUGACUGGGGCU
Molecule: ribosomal RNA, 1431 nt
Filed under: uncultured organism
Description: bacterial SSU rRNA
Rfam family: Bacterial small subunit ribosomal RNA
Source: RNAcentral